RNAcentral lists this unclassified non-coding RNA (542 nucleotides) under Hevea brasiliensis (rubber tree). The record is from RNAcentral. Lineage: Eukaryota; Viridiplantae; Streptophyta; Magnoliopsida; Malpighiales; Euphorbiaceae.
GUCUUCUUUUUUUAUCAAGUUAAGUUAGUUGUUUCCUAGCCCUUCGGGUCAGCGCGGGUCGCUCCUCAACCCACUAGGUAGGGUUGUAGAUAUUUUUCCAUUUUUGGUUUAGUUAUUUGCUAGUUUGGGGAUCAAUUGAAAGGGUUUGAAGGCAACCUAUGAGAGCUUCAAUUUUUAAGUUUAAGUGGUGGGAGGGCUUCUCCUCUAUGGUCCCGUUUUGAUGCAUGGGUAGGGGUUGGUCGGUGACUUUGUUGCUCGACUCAAAGCUAGGAGCUGCUUGGGAUCAUCGAGUUCUCGUUUAUCUGCGUGGAUAGCGCUUAGAGACAGGUGCAAAAGAACUCUGCUCUGUGCAUGGGUGUUCUCCCUAGCUCAAAUUCUAUCUUCACCCAUGGUUAUGUUUUCUUGUUUUCGCUAAAGGAUCUUAUGGAUUGUUGUUAAUCAGGGGGCGAUGUUUUUGUGCUGGAAUCACUAUGUGUGACUUGUUGUGGUUCCUUGGCACUAAUACAUGCUGUCGAUUGCUUGCUCUAGGGAAGUUCAGAGAA